This 1096-nucleotide ribosomal RNA is filed under the name Acinetobacter nosocomialis. Its description in RNAcentral is "bacterial SSU rRNA". It matches the Rfam family "Bacterial small subunit ribosomal RNA", at positions 28 to 1117 of the family's 1533-position model. The record is from RNAcentral. Lineage: Bacteria; Pseudomonadati; Pseudomonadota; Gammaproteobacteria; Moraxellales; Moraxellaceae.
AUAGAACGCUGGCGGCAGGCUUAACACAUGCAAGUCGAGCGGGGCGAAGGUAGCUUGCUACUGGACCUAGCGGCGGACGGGUGAGUAAUGCUUAGGAAUCUGCCUAUUAGUGGGGGACAACAUCUCGAAAGGGAUGCUAAUACCGCAUACGUCCUACGGGAGAAAGCAGGGGAUCUUCGGACCUUGCGCUAAUAGAUGAGCCUAAGUCGGAUUAGCUAGUUGGUGGGGUAAAGGCCUACCAAGGCGACGAUCUGUAGCGGGUCUGAGAGGAUGAUCCGCCACACUGGGACUGAGACACGGCCCAGACUCCUACGGGAGGCAGCAGUGGGGAAUAUUGGACAAUGGGCGCAAGCCUGAUCCAGCCAUGCCGCGUGUGUGAAGAAGGCCUUAUGGUUGUAAAGCACUUUAAGCGAGGAGGAGGCUACUUUAGAUAAUACCUAGAGAUAGUGGACGUUACUCGCAGAAUAAGCACCGGCUAACUCUGUGCCAGCAGCCGCGGUAAUACAGAGGGUGCAAGCGUUAAUCGGAUUUACUGGGCGUAAAGCGCGCGUAGGCGGCUAAUUAAGUCAAAUGUGAAAUCCCCGAGCUUAACUUGGGAAUUGCAUUCGAUACUGGUUAGCUAGAGUGUGGGAGAGGAUGGUAGAAUUCCAGGUGUAGCGGUGAAAUGCGUAGAGAUCUGGAGGAAUACCGAUGGCGAAGGCAGCCAUCUGGCCUAACACUGACGCUGAGGUGCGAAAGCAUGGGGAGCAAACAGGAUUAGAUACCCUGGUAGUCCAUGCCGUAAACGAUGUCUACUAGCCGUUGGGGCCUUUGAGGCUUUAGUGGCGCAGCUAACGCGAUAAGUAGACCGCCUGGGGAGUACGGUCGCAAGACUAAAACUCAAAUGAAUUGACGGGGGCCCGCACAAGCGGUGGAGCAUGUGGUUUAAUUCGAUGCAACGCGAAGAACCUUACCUGGCCUUGACAUAGUAAGAACUUUCCAGAGAUGGAUUGGUGCCUUCGGGAACUUACAUACAGGUGCUGCAUGGCUGUCGUCAGCUCGUGUCGUGAGAUGUUGGGUUAAGUCCCGCAACGAGCGCAACCCUUUUCCUUAUUUA